This 85-nucleotide transfer RNA is filed under the name Candidatus Woesebacteria bacterium RIFCSPHIGHO2_01_FULL_39_95. Its description in RNAcentral is "tRNA-Leu". It matches the Rfam family "tRNA". From Rfam's summary of the family: Transfer RNA (tRNA) molecules are approximately 80 nucleotides in length. The record is from RNAcentral. RNAcentral also lists the same sequence under 4 other names. Lineage: Bacteria; Candidatus Woeseibacteriota.
GCCCAGGUGCUGGAAUGGAAGACAGGCUGGUCUCAAAAACCAGUGGUGGUAACACACCGUGCGAGUUCGACUCUCGCCCUGGGCA